AAAAGAGUAGAGCUCUCCAAAGCCUAGGGAUUGGCCAGUCAGCUCUUGUGCCUUAGAACCAGUGUGGUUGGACACAAGAAGCUCCGGAUCACGGCCUAAUUGGUGCAGCAACUCUUCACAGCUUUGCGCACACUUCACACUUCAACUUCACCUCUUCAUGGAACCGGUUUGAAGUCUCCCCCUCUCAACUGACUUCACAGCAAUCUUAGAGAAGCUAGGACACAACCAGAUCAUCUUUAAAACACCAGUGAGGCUGAUCAACACUUCACACAUGGCUUGCCCUCUUCAUAGAACUGGUUUGGAUCUCCCCCUCUCAACAGACUUCGCAGUCACCUUACA
RNAcentral lists this long non-coding RNA (339 nucleotides) under Brassica napus (rape). RNAcentral's name for it is "long non-coding RNA (BNAP_LNC015262)". The record is from RNAcentral. Lineage: Eukaryota; Viridiplantae; Streptophyta; Magnoliopsida; Brassicales; Brassicaceae.